AGGUCUGUGAUCAGGAUCAGGUCUGUGAUCAGGAUCAGGUCUGUGCUCAGGUUUAGAAUCAGGUCUGUGAUCAGGAUCAGGUCUGUGAUCAGGAUCAGGUCUGUGCUCAGGAUCAGGACUCAUGGUGGUGUGGUGUUGUUUCAGGGG
Molecule: long non-coding RNA, 147 nt
Organism: Larimichthys crocea (large yellow croaker)
Lineage: Eukaryota; Metazoa; Chordata; Actinopteri; Sciaenidae
Exons: 4
Source: RefSeq, a predicted model, not a curated record